AACGAACGCUGGCGGCAGGCUUAACACAUGCAAGUCGAGCGAGACCUUCGGGUCUAGCGGCGGACGGGUGAGUAACGCGUGGGAACGUGCCCUUCUCUACGGAAUAGCCCCGGGAAACUGGGAGUAAUACCGUAUACGCCCUUUGGGGGAAAGAUUUAUCGGAGAAGGAUCGGCCCGCGUUGGAUUAGGUAGUUGGUGGGGUAAUGGCCCACCAAGCCGACGAUCCAUAGCUGGUUUGAGAGGAUGAUCAGCCACACUGGGACUGAGACUCGGCCCAGACUCCUACGGGAGGCAGCAGUGGGGAAUCUUAGACAAUGGGGGCAACCCUGAUCUAGCCAUGCCGCGUGAGUGAUGAAGGCCUUAGGGUUGUAAAGCUCUUUCAGCUGGGAAGAUAAUGACGGUACCAGCAGAAGAAGCCCCGGCUAACUCCGUG
RNAcentral lists this ribosomal RNA (433 nucleotides) under uncultured bacterium. RNAcentral's name for it is "partial 16S ribosomal RNA". It matches the Rfam family "Bacterial small subunit ribosomal RNA", at positions 29 to 507 of the family's 1533-position model. The record is from RNAcentral.